GAUGAACGCUGGCGGCGUGCCUAAUACAUGCAAGUCGAGCGAACGGACGAGAGGCUUGCUUCUCUGAUGUUAGCGGCGGACGGGUGAGUAACACGUGGAUAACCUACCUAUAAGACUGGGAUAACUUCGGGAAACCGGAGCUAAUACCGGAUGAUAUUUUGAACCGCAUGGUUCAAAAGUGAAAGACGGUCUUGCUGUCACUUAUAGAUGGAUCCGCGCUGCAUUAGCUAGUUGGUAAGGUAACGGCUUACCAAGGCAACGAUGCAUAGCCGACCUGAGAGGGUGAUCGGCCACACUGGAACUGAGACACGGUCCAGACUCCUACGGGAGGCAGCAGUAGGGAAUCUUCCGCAAAGGGCGAAAGCCUGACGGAGCAACGCCGCGUGAGUGAUGAAGGUCUUCGGAUCGUAAAACUCUGUUAUUAGGGAAGAACAUAUGUGUAAGUAACUGUGCACAUCUUGACGGUACCUAAUCAGAAAGCCACGGCUAACUACGUG
This 497-nucleotide ribosomal RNA is filed under the name uncultured bacterium. RNAcentral describes it as "partial 16S ribosomal RNA". It matches the Rfam family "Bacterial small subunit ribosomal RNA", at positions 28 to 507 of the family's 1533-position model. The record is from RNAcentral.